UACGGAGGGUCCAAGCGUUAUCCGGAAUCAUUGGGUUUAAAGGGUCCGUAGGCGGUUUUGUAAGUCAGUGGUGAAAGCCCAUCGCUCAACGGUGGAACGGCCAUUGAUACUGCAAGACUUGAAAUAUUGUGAAGUAACUAGAAUAUGUAGUGUAGCGGUGAAAUGCUUAGAGAUUACAUGGAAUACCAAUUGCGAAGGCAGGUUACUAACAAUAUAUUGACGCUGAUGGACGAAAGCGUGGGUAGCGAACAGG
RNAcentral lists this ribosomal RNA (253 nucleotides) under uncultured bacterium. RNAcentral's name for it is "partial 16S ribosomal RNA". It matches the Rfam family "Bacterial small subunit ribosomal RNA", at positions 524 to 776 of the family's 1533-position model. The record is from RNAcentral.